AAAGACCCAACUCGGAUUGAUGAUGCUUGAGUGAGUGAGCCAAAGUAAUUUGCCUGCUGCACUUUGUCCUUGGUUGCCCAUGAAAUUCCUUCUCGAUUGGCUAUAACCCCACCGGUGAGAGUAGAACCAUUGUUUCCUCCCCACCCCACAAGCAUAACCCCUAGUUUAGGGACAUGGGUAUCGGUCUUGAAUUCAUAUUUGAUAGUUUUAGGCUUGACAAUCCAUUGAUAAGUACCACUCCUGUUCUCAUGAACAAGCUCAGUGGUCUCAUAGUUGUACACAGAGUGAAUCUCGUCGUCUGUGUACUUAACAUUAGGGCUCUCAACCUUAAA
Molecule: unclassified non-coding RNA, 332 nt
Filed under: Hevea brasiliensis (rubber tree)
Lineage: Eukaryota; Viridiplantae; Streptophyta; Magnoliopsida; Malpighiales; Euphorbiaceae
Source: RNAcentral